CUAGAUGAAUGGCGGACGCAUAAACCGAGAACACAUGAUAAACCAAAACUCCACCAGAACAAGCUCAAUACCUUCUCACGUCAACUUAAGGUUGGAGAUAAAGUCUUAUUAGAUGCCGCAGAUCCUCACAUUGUCACUACCACACCGAAUGAAGAAAUCCCUCUUACGGUACUUAGCAUUUUCCCAUUCGGUAUAGUCGAGGUAAGUCAUCC
RNAcentral lists this long non-coding RNA (212 nucleotides) under Gossypium barbadense (sea-island cotton). RNAcentral describes it as "long non-coding RNA (GBAR_LNC012443)". Lineage: Eukaryota; Viridiplantae; Streptophyta; Magnoliopsida; Malvales; Malvaceae. The record is from RNAcentral.